GAUGAACGCUGGCGGCGUGCCUAAUACAUGCAAGUCGAGCGAAUGGAUUAAGAGCUUGCUCUUAUGAGGUUAGCGGCGGACGGGUGAGUAACACGUGGGUAACCUGCCCAUAAGACUGGGAUAACUCCGGGAAACCGGGGCUAAUACCGGAUAACAUUUUGAACCGCAUGGUUCGAAAUUGAAAGGCGGCUUCGGCUGUCACUUAUGGAUGGACCCGGUUCGCAUUAGCCGGUUGGUGAGGUAACGGCUCACCAAGGCAAAGAUGCGUAGCCGACCUGGGAGGGUGAUCGGCCACACUGGGACUGAGACACGGCCCAGACUCCUACGGGAGGCAGCAGUAGGGAAUCUUCCGCAAUGGACGAAAGUCUGACGGAGCAACGCCGCGUGAGUGAUGAAGGCUUUCGGGUCGUAAAACUCUGUUGUUAGGGAAGAACAAGUGCUAGUUGAAUAAGCUGGCACCUUGACGGUACCUAACCAGAAAGCCACGGCUAACUACGUGCCAGCCGCCGCAGUAA
This 515-nucleotide ribosomal RNA is filed under the name uncultured bacterium. RNAcentral's name for it is "partial 16S ribosomal RNA". It matches the Rfam family "Bacterial small subunit ribosomal RNA", at positions 28 to 523 of the family's 1533-position model. The record is from RNAcentral.